GGACAGAAAGACCCUAUGAAGCUUUACUGUAGCCUGGUAUUGGCUUCGGGCUUUGGCUGCGCAGAAUAGGUGGGAGACGUUGAGACCGUUCUUGUGGGAGCGGUGGAGUCAUCGGUGAGAUACCACUCUGCUAAGGCUAGAAGUCUAACCUGCUGCCGUGAUCCGGCGCGGGAACAGUAUCAGGGGGGCAGUUUGACUGGGGCGGUCGCCUCCCAAAAGGUAACGGAGGCGCGCAAAGGUUCUCUCAGGCUGGUUGGAAAUCAGCCGUUGAGUGUAAAAGCACAAGAGAGCUUGACUGUGAGACGUACAUGUCGAACAGGGACGAAAGUCGGCUUUAGUGAUCCGACGGCGCUGCGUGGAAAGGCCGUCGCUAAACGGAUAAAAGUUACUCUAGGGAUAACAGGCUG
This 407-nucleotide ribosomal RNA is filed under the name uncultured Leptolyngbya sp. Its description in RNAcentral is "bacterial LSU rRNA". It matches the Rfam family "Bacterial large subunit ribosomal RNA", at positions 2078 to 2484 of the family's 2925-position model. The record is from RNAcentral. Lineage: Bacteria; Bacillati; Cyanobacteriota; Cyanophyceae; Leptolyngbyales; Leptolyngbyaceae.